RNAcentral lists this ribosomal RNA (3010 nucleotides) under Desulfonema limicola. RNAcentral's name for it is "23S ribosomal RNA". It matches the Rfam family "Bacterial large subunit ribosomal RNA". Lineage: Bacteria; Pseudomonadati; Thermodesulfobacteriota; Desulfobacteria; Desulfobacterales; Desulfococcaceae. The record is from RNAcentral.
CCAAGCUAUUAAGAGCAAACGGUGGAUGCCUUGGCAUCAGGAGGCGAUGAAAGACGUGGUAAGCUGCGAAAAGCUUCGGGGAGUUGCUAAACAAACUUUGAUCCGGAGAUAUCUGAAUGGGGAAACCUGCUGGGGUUAAUGCCUCAGCAUCUGCAACUGAAUACAUAGGUUGCAGAGGCGAACGGGGAGAACUGAAACAUCUUAGUACCCCCAGGAAAAGAAAACAAAAGUAAUUUUCCAAGUAGCGGCGAGCGAACGGGAAACAGCCCAAACCGAAUAUAUGUAAGCCCGAAAGCGUUGUAUAUUUGGUGUCGCGGGAUCUAAAGUGAUCUGGUUUCGGACAGAUCGAAGAGUUACAAAACUGAUUUAUAAUUAAAGCGUCUGGAAAGUCGCACCAUAGAAGGUGACAGUCCUGUAAAUAAAAUGAAUCAGUCUCUUAUUUAGACACCCAAGUACCGCGGGACACGAGAAACCCUGUGGGAAUUCAUGAGGACCAUCUCAUAAGGCUAAAUACUACCUGAUGACCGAUAGUGAACUAGUACCGUGAGGGAAAGGUGAAAAGUACCCCAGUGAGGGGAGUGAAAUAGUACCUGAAACCGUUUGUUUACAAGCAGUGGAAGCACUAUGUAUUCUUUCGGGAAAACAGUGCGACUGCGUGCCUUUUGCAUAAUGAGUCAGCGAGUUGUUUUACGCAGCAAGAUUAAGCCGUAAGGUGUAGUCGCAGCGAAAGCGAGUCUUAACAGGGCGUAUUAGUUGCGUGAAGCAGACCCGAAACCAGGUGAUCUAUCCAUGGCCAGGGUGAAGCUCCGGUAAAACGGAGUGGAGGCCCGAACCGUUGUAUGUUGAAAAAUGCUCGGAUGAGCUGUGGAUAGGGGUGAAAGGCCAAACAAACCUGGAAAUAGCUGGUUCUCCCCGAAAUAUAUUUAGGUAUAGCCUUGCGAAUUAAGUAACGGGGGUAGAGCACCGGAUGGGCUAGGGGUCCCACCAGAUUACCAAACCUAACCGAACUCCGAAUACCGUUAACUGUAAUCGCAGGAGUCAGACUGCGGGAGCUAAGUUCCGUAGUCGAGAGGGAAACAGCCCAGAUCGCCGGCUAAGGCCCCCAAGUGUGUGCUAAGUGGGAAAGGAUGUGGAAAUGCACAGACAACCAGGAGGUUGGCUUAGAAGCAGCCAUCCUUUAAAGAAAGCGUAAUAGCUCACUGGUCGAGUGAGUCUGCGCCGAAGAUGUAACGGGGCUCAAGCACACCGCCGAAGCCGCGGAUGUACAUUAAUUUGUAUGUGGUAGGGGAGCAUUGUGUCAUGGCUGAAGCCUGACCGUAAGGACAGGUGGACGUGACAGAAGAGACCAUGCUGACAUGAGUAACGAUAAAGCGGGUGAAAAACCCGCUCGCCGAAAACCUAAGGAUUCCUGAGUAAAGCUAAUCUUCUCAGGGUUAGUCGAUCCCUAAGCCGAGGCCGAAAGGCGUAGGUGAUGGCAAACAGGUUAAUAUUCCUGUACCACCGUGUUAUCGUUUGAGAGAAGGGGGGACGCAGGAGGGCAGGUCAUCCGUCUGCUGGAAUAGACGGUUUAAGCAUGUAGGCUGAAAGGACAGGUAAAUCCGUUCUUUCAAACGGCUGAGAUGCGAUGAGGAGGAGCUUGCUCCAUAAACUGACUGAUCCCAUGCUGCCAAGAAAAGCCUCUAUCGAGAUAACAAGGUGAUCGUACCGCAAACCGACACAGGUAGGUGGGGAGAGAAUCCCAAGGCGCUUGAGAGAACCCUGGUUAAGGAACUCGGCAAAAUGACACCGUAACUUAGGGAGAAGGUGUGCCUCUGGUACGUGAAAGGACUUGCUCCUGGAGCGGAAAGAGGCCUCAGAGAAAUGGCGGUAGCGACUGUUUACUAAAAACAUAGGACUCUGCUAAGUCGCAAGACGAUGUAUAGGGUCUGACGCCUGCCCGGUGCCGGAAGGUUAAGGGGAGAUGUUAUCCUUCGGGAGAAGCAUUGAACCGAAGCCCCGGUAAACGGCGGCCGUAACUAUAACGGUCCUAAGGUAGCGAAAUUCCUUGUCGGGUAAGUUCCGACCUGCACGAAUGGCGUAACGACUUCCGCACUGUCUCAACCAGGGACUCAGUGAAAUUGUAUUGGCGGUGAAGAUGCCGUCUACCCGCGAAAAGACGGAAAGACCCCGGCACCUUUACUACAGCUUGACAUUGGAUUUUGGAAUAGUAUGUGUAGGAUAGGUGGGAGGCUGCGAUCCCGGAACGCCAGUUUCGGAGGAGCCGACCUUGAAAUACCACCCUUACUAUUUUAGAGUUCUAAUUUUGACCCGUGAACCGGGCAAAAGACAGUGUCUGGCGGGUAGUUUGACUGGGGCGGUCGCCUCCCAAAGAGUAACGGAGGCGCGCGAAGGUUCCCUCAGGCUGAUUGGAAACCAGUCGAAGAGUGCAAAGGCAUAAGGGAGCUUGACUGCGAGAGAGACAUUUCGAGCAGGUACGAAAGUAGGUCUUAGUGAUCCGGCGGUUCUGAAUGGAAGGGCCGUCGCUCAACGGAUAAAAGGUACGCCGGGGAUAACAGGCUUAUCGCCCCCAAGAGUUCACAUCGACGGGGCGGUUUGGCACCUCGAUGUCGGCUCAUCACAUCCUGGGGCCGGAGCAGGUCCCAAGGGUUUGGCUGUUCGCCAAUUAAAGUGGUACGUGAGCUGGGUUUAAAACGUCGUGAGACAGUUUGGUCCCUAUCUUUCGCGGGCGCAGGAUAUUUGAGAGGAUCUGUCCCUAGUACGAGAGGACCGGGAUGGACGAACCAAUGGUGUUCCGGUUGUCGCGCCAGCGGCAUUGCCGGGUAGCUAAGUACGGAAAGGAUAACCGCUGAAAGCAUCUAAGCGGGAAGCCCGCCUCAAGAUAAGAUAUCCCCUCUGCAUGGCAGCAUGCAGACUAAAGACUCCUUGAAGACUACAAGGUUGAUAGGCCGGGUGUGUAAGCAUGGCAACAUGUUGAGCUUACCGGUACUAAUAAGUCGUGAGGCUUGGCCAC